This 472-nucleotide ribosomal RNA is filed under the name uncultured bacterium. RNAcentral describes it as "SSU rRNA". It matches the Rfam family "Bacterial small subunit ribosomal RNA", at positions 26 to 518 of the family's 1533-position model. The record is from RNAcentral.
AGGACGAACGCUGGCGGCGUGCUUAACACAUGCAAGUCGAGCGGAAAGGCCCUUCGGGGUACUCGAGCGGCGAACGGGUGAGUAACACGUGAGUAAUCUGCCCCUAGCUCUGGGAUAGCUCCGGGAAACCGGGAUUAAUACCAGAUACGACCACUUUAGACAUCUGUUGUGGUGGAAAGAAUUUCGGCUAGGGAUGAGCUCGCGGCCUAUCAGCUUGUUGGUGAGGUAACGGCUCACCAAGGCGACGACGGGUAGCCGGCCUGAGAGGGCGACCGGCCACACUGGGACUGAGACACGGCCCAGACUCCUACGGGAGGCAGCAGUGGGGAAUAUUGCGCAAUGGGCGAAAGCCUGACGCAGCGACGCCGCGUGGGGGAUGAAGGCCUUCGGGUUGUAAACCCUUUCAGCAGGGACGAAGCGAAGUGACGGUACCUGCAGAAGAAGCGCCGGCUAACUACGCGCCAGCAGCCGC